Molecule: long non-coding RNA, 1246 nt
Filed under: Sus scrofa (pig)
Lineage: Eukaryota; Metazoa; Chordata; Mammalia; Artiodactyla; Suidae
Description: lncRNA (ENSSSCG00050005602.1)
Source: RNAcentral
CAGGGGGGCAGGUGUACCUUAAUGCAUGGAGUCAACCUCAGGUGUGACCUCUAGCCCACAGCAGCAGCAGCGGAGAACUCACGUUCUUCUCAGAGAAAGGAAAGAAGGGCAGAGCUGAAUCAAGCCUGCCCAGUUGUGCUCCCGAGAAGCACCUGUGCCCAGGCAGUGAGUGAAACUCCUAGAAGGAAGCAUCAGGGGAGGGGGGCAGCAUUCUCUGUCUUAGGAGAACAGACUCGUAAAGUGUGAGAGGUAGUUGCCUUGCCGUCUUGCUCAGAUGUCUUCAAGUCCUCACGUUUGCAUCCCCAACUUUAUUCUGCAGAAGAAAGCAGCCAAUGAUAUCUCAACCCCAUCUUUAAUGGCCAGUUCAUCACACUAAGGGGAAGGAGAUGUUUGAUUUUGUCUGAAUGCAAAAAGUUCAGUAGAUCCUAGAGGAAGCCUCCAGAGACUUGUUACAGAGCAAAGAAGAGGUUCUAAGGUGGAUGGGAAUCUUCACCCCCACAGAGAAGGAUGUGUGUCCAUGAGGAAAGGUGCCUUAAAAAUACUGGCCGAAUCAAAGCAAACAAGUGAACUUGAAAAUGGACCACAAAGAAAGAUGAACACAUUGCCCUGGAUGAACACAUCCUUCGGUGAGUUGAUAAGAUGUGCUCUUGCCUGAGGUCUCCACAGGAUGCUACCCGUGGAGGAAAGUGAUAGUCCUUCCUGAAGGGACCACUCAGCAUCAUCUUAUAUAACAUGUGAACAGGGCUGUAAUGCAGUGGAAGCUUAUAAAUGAUCUUGCUGUAUAAAGUAGCCUUGUUUGCCUGCACUGGACACUAAGCUAUGCAGAGUUUGUGUUAGGAAAGCAGCCCUGACACCAAACAUUUGAUCUGUCAAUUUAGUCUUGGAUUUUGGGAAUUUUCUCCACAUCCACUUCACGAGAAAGGCCAUUGCGUCACUACCAAGUGUUGAGUACAUUUUGAAAGGCACUUGAACCUUACAAGUCUCCCCUCUGCAGAUCUGUGCGUGAAUGACACAAACUGGAGAGCCUAAGAAGGGUGAGCCAAGGCAGAUGCUUUACAGUUGAACUUAAAAGGCAAUUCUGAGGAUCACUUAAAAAACCAAAACUAAAUAUAGAACAACCAUAUCACCCAGCAAUCCCACUUCUGGGCAUAUAUCUGGACAAAACUAUAAUUAAUAGAGAUCCAUGCACCCUGAUGUUCAUUGCAGUACUAUUCACAAUAGCCAAGACACAGAAGCAACCAAAAUG